This 800-nucleotide ribosomal RNA is filed under the name uncultured bacterium. RNAcentral describes it as "bacterial SSU rRNA". It matches the Rfam family "Bacterial small subunit ribosomal RNA", at positions 8 to 803 of the family's 1533-position model. The record is from RNAcentral.
AGAGUUUGAUCCUGGCUCAGAACGAACGCUGACGGUAUGCCUCAUACAUGCAAGUCGAGCGGGCACCUUCGGGUGUCAGCGGCGAACUGGUGAGUAACACGUGAACAAUCUGCCCUCGAAUUUGGGAUAACGGCUCCAACGAGCCGCUAAUACCGGAUAGGUUAUUUCGGUCGCAUGGCUGGAUUAAGAAAGUUGCUUUUGCAACGUUCGAGGAUGAGUUCGCGUCCCAUUAGCUUGUUGGCGGGGUAAAGGCCCACCAAGGCGACGAUGGGUAGCCGGCCUGAGAGGGUGAUCGGCCACAUUGGGACUGAGAUACGGCCCAGACUCCUACGGGAGGCAGCAGUAGGGAAUUUUGCGCAAUGGACGAAAGUCUGACGCAGCAAUACCGUGUGAGGGAUGAAGCAUUUCGGUGUGUAAACCUCUGUCGAUGGUGACUAAAUGCUCUAAGAGUGGAAAGCUUAGGGUUUGAAUGUAGCCAAGAAGGAAGCACCGGCUAACUCUGUGCCAGCAGCCGCGGUAAUACAGGGGGUGCAAGCGUUGUUCGGAAUUACUGGGCGUAAAGGGAGCGUAGGCGGAAUUGCAAGACAGAGGUUAAAUCUCCGGGCUCAACCUGGAACUUGCCUUUGUGACUGCAGUUCUUGAGUAUGGUAGAGGUCAGUGGAAUUUCCGGUGUAGCGGUGGAAUGCGUAGAUAUCGGAAAGAACACCAGAGGCGAAGGCGACUGACUGGGCCAAUACUGACGCUGAGGCUCGAAAGCGUGGGGAGCAAACAGGAUUAGAUACCCUGGUAGUCCACGCUGU